GAUGAACGCUGGCGGCGUGCUCAACACAUGCAAGUCGAACGAAGCAUUUAGAACAGAUUACUUCGGUUUGAAGUUCUUUAUGACUGAGUGGCGGACGGGUGAGUAACGCGUGGGUAACCUGCCUUGUACUGGGGGAUAGCAGCUGGAAACGGCUGGUAAUACCGCAUAAGCGCACAAUGUUGCAUGACAUGGUGUGAAAAACUCCGGUGGUAUAAGAUGGACCCGCGUCUGAUUAGCUAGUUGGUGAGAUAACAGCCCACCAAGGCGACGAUCAGUAGCCGACCUGAGAGGGUGACCGGCCACAUUGGGACUGAGACACGGCCCAGACUCCUACGGGAGGCAGCAGUGGGGAAUAUUGCACAAUGGAGGAAACUCUGAUGCAGCGACGCCGCGUGAGUGAAGAAGUAAUUCGUUAUGUAAAGCUCUAUCAGCAGGGAAGAUAGUGACGGUACCUGACUAAGAAGCUCCGGCUAAAUACGUG
RNAcentral lists this ribosomal RNA (481 nucleotides) under uncultured bacterium. Its description in RNAcentral is "partial 16S ribosomal RNA". It matches the Rfam family "Bacterial small subunit ribosomal RNA", at positions 28 to 507 of the family's 1533-position model. The record is from RNAcentral.